This 2517-nucleotide long non-coding RNA is filed under the name Betula platyphylla (Asian white birch). The record is from RNAcentral. Lineage: Eukaryota; Viridiplantae; Streptophyta; Magnoliopsida; Fagales; Betulaceae.
CCAAAUUUGGGAAAUUAAUACUACGCAUAAAUAAAAGAAAUACAAAUACAAAGACAAACUUAAAAGAGAGAUCAACAAAGACUUAAAGUCUUAAAAAGAGUUUAAAUUUACAUAACUUACUAAAAUACAACACAAAUUACAACAUUAUCAAUUAAUGUAAUCUGGCCAUCUAGGUUGCCACUUGCCACCCACACGCUUAAAAUCAUGUUUCAACAACAGCAUUUAAAUCAAUCUUCCUUCAUCAUAAUCUCAAAAUCUCAAAGCAACAAAGUAAUCAAUACAUCAUAGCAUUUCUUUCAUAUCUUAAAACUUUCACAAUCACAACCACAAUAUCAAUCAUUGGCUUAUGAACCAUCUAAUGCACAUCUUGUACCAAAUAAAAUUCAUAAAACAUCAUAUGCAAUCCAGCUGUAAACGUAUACGUAAGUUCUUCCCCUUUGAGAAUCUUAUGCAUACCCAUACAUCUAGCAUGACAUACCUCUUAAACCAAUACAUACUUUGACAUUCAUCAUCUCAUUCUUCAUAUACAUACAAAUACAUCUAGCAUGAAAUCUCAUAAAACAUAAUACAUAUACACAUCAUUAAAACAUAACCGUGCAAUACAUACUUUGACAUUCAUCAUCUCAUUCUUCAUAUACAUACAAAUACAUCUAGCAUGCAAUCUCAUAAAAUUGACUAUUAUUCUUUCAUUUAUUACACUCAGUGUGGCUGAUGAAGUAAACAACACAUUCAUAAAGCAAUUUAAAUCAUUAUAUAACUGUGAAUGUAUGCAUAUGCUCCAAAAAUAUGUUCGAGGACUUGUCGAGUCGAGUCAGGUACUUGAGCGGCUCAACUCGGCUCGAGCUCGAGCUAGAGUAUACAAUUUCUAAAAGCCCUAAUCGAGUCCAAGCUUGGUAAAAAGGCUUUUCGAGCCUUAAAUGGGCAGCUCGGCUCAUUUAGUUGCUUUAAGUAGUUUUUUAAAAUGUGAUUAAAAAAAAAACUUAAAAACACAAACAAUAUGAAACAGAUAAACAUGAUUGACUAAAGAUAUAAAUAGGUACUUUUGAGUUUUGAGCAUUUACGAGAAAAUUCAAUUAUAAACUAAACUUGAUUUUUAGGCAUCAAUGCAAAUCUACAAAGACUGACUAGCUUAAGUCAGUAAACCACCAGCUAGCAUAACCAAUCAUACUCCUGAAUGACUUCUAAACUCGCACCGGAACCAACGCUAAUCCCUCAACCUGCAACAAAAGUAACAUCUAUGUAAUCAUAGAGAUCAUCCAUGAUUACAUAGGAGAAGAAAAGAAGAAAGGGUGAGUCAACAGUUCAUAAAGAAUGAAGACUCCCCCGAGGGUUUUCGCAAUGAGCCAAACUUUUAUUUAUGUAAUCGCUUACAAUAUCAGCCACUCAAUUCCAUAAAAACUCCAUCAUACAUUUACAUCUUUUCAUCUUUUCAGCACCGAACAAUCACAACCACAAUAUCAAUCAUAUCUCAUCAAAUAUCUCAUAAAACAUUGAAAGUAUCAAGUAGUAAUAAAGCAUGCUCAAACAACAUAUGAAUGGCUCGACUUUUUCAUAACUUUAAAGAAACUUUAAAGACAUUAAAAUUCUGCUCUUUCUCAACUUGUUUAGCAUCUUUAAAAUAUCUAAAAUCAUUGAUAAAAUUCUUUGAAAACAUAAAACGUAUUCGUCCUCAGUGAGUAAAAGAUUACUCACCUUAAGAGACCAUGAGGGAUUCACAACUAAGGCGCUCAAGCUUGCUUACUCUCGCAAAUGCUUCCACGAUCCAAUUACCUUGUACUACAUUGGAGUACUAGCUUUAGUCUCCAAUCUCAUGUAACAUACCUCUUCUUCUUCUCAAUUUUCUGCAUCUCUCUCUCUCACGGCAUCAUCUCUCUCUCUCUCUCUCGGUCUAGGACAGCAUUGGAUACAUAUACACAUAAUACAUAUACAUAUCAUUAAAACGUAACCGUGCAAUACAUACAUAACUUUGAACGAAGAAACAGGGAGAAGCUCAUUUAAUCUAUUCAGGGCUUGCCCUCCGAGAAUUGUCUCGAACUGAUGCUGAGGACUUGUCCCACUCAUUUAAUCUAUUCAUACAAUUACAUCUUUUCAUCUUUCAGCACCGAGGGCUUGCCCUCCGAGAAUUGUCUCGAAUUGAUGCUGGGGACUUGUCCCACUCAUUUAAUCUUUUCAUACAAUUACAUCUUUUCAUCUUUUCAGCACCGAGGGCUUGCCCUCCGAGAAUUGUCUUGAACUGAUGCUGGGGACUUGUCCCACUCAUUUAAUCUAUUCAUUCAUUUACAUAUAAAUCAUCAAUAGUGGGCCCAGCCCUGUCAUUUGAUAAUAGUGAGCCCAGCUCUGUCAUUUGAUAAUAGUGAGCCCAGCUCUGUUCAUGCUCAUUUCAAUGUACUUACAAAUCUCAACAAUCAUGUUUCAACAACAGCAUUUAAAUCAAUCUUCCUUCAUCAUAAUCUCAAAAUCUCAAAGCAACAAAGUAAUCAAUACAUCAUAGCAUUUCUUUCAUAUCUUAAAACUUUC